UAAGGUAAAUUUCAUGUUUGCUUAUGUCUGAUUUUGUCAACGAGGUGAAAGGCAAAAAACUGCACUCAGUUGAACUGGGCUGCCUAGGAAUUCACAAAACACACACACGCAAACCUCAGAUGUUUACCAGCUACCUCAGAUCAUCACGUGUUGUGAACCACACCCAUCCACAUCUGGUGUUACAACUCUCCUUCUGAUUUCAGACAACCUGCCUUUCAACAACUCCACAAUAAUUCAUGAGCUGCAAUCCUCCUGACUGCAACCUCAGGUCUUUUUCAAGGAAAAUAAGGAAAUGUAUGGUGAUCACGGACACCAGUCCCCAGCCGCACCCCUACUCAGCUCUUAACAGCAAUGUUUCAUGAAAUCAUUUGAAUCAGACAGAAAAGGGCCAGUGUUUAAAAUGAUGGUGCUUUGUCUGUCCUAGGAUGUGCUUUCUCCUCUUCACUCUGCUGCUAGAAGGAACCAAAGAAGUUAAAGAGAUGGCAAAAUAAAGGUUCAUCAGCAAGUAAAAAUGAAGUGUCUGCUGGCCUGAACUUAACACACCCAAAAACGUGGAAGUGAGAACCAUGGAACACAGAUUCCAGGGCAAAUUUAUGGUGGCAACAGCAACAACAGCAACAGUGGUGCUACUGAGAUACAGCAGGACAAAAAGCUGUAAAGGCCAAGAACCUCCUUUUCUGUAUGAUGAAGCUGCAGUUCUAAGAAGGCAGGAAAAUACCCCAUUGUUUCUUUGUUUGUUUUCUCUUUGACCUUCUGCUGCCUGGCUCUGAGCAUGACACUCUUGUGGAAAAGAAUGGUUUCUAAACAGUGGAAGUAAAAGGGAAUUAAAUGAAAACAGAAAUUAUCAGAAUUAUUGCAGAGAGUGAGAAGCUCAGGAAAACACCCCAUAAAGUUUUUUAAAAACCUGGGUUCAUCUCCAUUUAUAAUUUCUUAGAAAUGAACCUAAUUACAGUACCAAAGACUUUGAUACUGAGCUGAACCAGACUUUACACAUAGUUCAGAUGAAACACUAAGUGGUGCACACCAGACAAAUCUGAACAGCACUGCAAAGACCAUGAAUGUUGAACUAAUGUUGGAACCAUAAAAUAAGAAGGUGAGUUGGAGCUUGCAGCCCAAACUUACAAAUUGAUUGCCUAUUAAAAGGAACCAAUGAACAAAAAUUAUCAACCUUCUCUAUAGUAUUUAAAUAAGACCUAAUGGCUCAUAAUGUACUGCCCAGAAUAGCCAGGCUAUGUUCUAAAAUUAUUUAGAAUGCAAAGAAUCAUGAAAGUGUCAACUCUCACUGAAAAACUCAACAGGCCCAAGAGACAAGAUGACACAGAAGAUGGAAUUAUCUGACAAAAUUUUUAAAGCAGCUACAUUUACACACUAGGAAACUCUAUGGCGCAGUUCAACCCUGUCAUACAGGGUCGCUAUGAGUCGGAAUCAAUUCAAAGACACACAAAAAUAACAAUAACUAUAAAAAUGUCAAAUGAGUAAUUGCAAAUACUAGUAAUAAAAUAAAAGCAUCAACAAUGAAUUAGAAGAUAAAAGGAAAAAUUUUAGAACUAAAACAACAAUAACUGAAGUGAAAAACUUACUUGAUGAACUCAAGAAUUUAAUGGAAAUGAUACAAUAAAGAUUUAGUGAGCUGAAUUAACAGACCAAUCAGAGUAAAAAAAGAGGGAAAAACAUACAAUAAUGAACAGAGUUUCAGAAUCUGUUCUAUAACAAAAAUAUCUAAUGCUUGUGUCAUCAGAGUCCAAGAAGGAAAGAAGAAAAAGUGAAAGGUGCGAAAACUAUUUGAAUAGGUGCUAAAAAUUUUCCAGGUGGGACAGAAGACACAUACCUACAUGAUUCAAGAAACUGAGCAAAGCAUUAACAGAAUAAGCCUAGAGAUUCAUGCCCAGACAUAUUAUAAUCAAAGUACAGAUAACUAAAGACAAAGAAAAAAUCCCAAAAGCAGUGAGGGAUAAUCAGUGCAUUACCAACAGGAGAACAAUGAUUUAAACGACAAUACAUUUCUUAUGAGAAAACAAGAAGGCCAAAAGAGAGUAAUAUAUUUUUAAAAUGUUGUAAGAAAAGAACUGUCAACCUAGAGGUGUACAUCCAGCUAAAAUAUCCUUCAGAAAUGAAGAAGAAAUAAAAGCUUACUCAAAUGAGGAAAUACUGAGAGAAUUUGUAGCCAACAUACCUGCUGUAAAAUAAUUGCUAAAAGAAGAUGAAGGGAAAUGGUACCAGGUGGAGACUUAGAACAUCAGAAAUCAAGGGAGUACAACAAAGACAUUGAAUAUCUGGGUAAACAUAGAGACAUUUCUUCUCUUCUUGAGUUCUUUAAAAUAUGUUUGAUGAUUCAAAGCAAAAAUUAUAAACAUGUAUAGCAUGGUUCUCAAUGCAUGUACAUAUAGUAUUUAAGAGAAGUAUAGCAACAAGAAGGGAGGGUAAAGGAAAAUAUAAGGUGAUAACAUUUCACAAUUCAAAUUGAAGCGAUAAAAUAUUGGUUACAAACAAAUUGUAAAAUGCUAAGAAUGUUUUCUGUAAUGCUGAAAGCAAUUUCUUAAAAAAAGAAUUUUUUUUGAAGUAAUCAGAAUCCCAAUAGAUAAAUUGAAAAGCAAAACUUAAAAAUGUCAAAGUAAUCCAAAAGAAUAUGAGAAGGGAAACCUGAAGAGACAAAAACAGAGGUAACAAAGAAAAAACAAAUAAUAAACUGGUAGACCUACAUACAGGAGUCCUUGGGCAGUGCAAAAAGAUAAGCACUCAACUGCUAGAUGAAAUGUUAGUGGUUUGAAUCCACCCAGAGGAGCCUAGGAAGGCAGACCUGAUGAUCUGCUUCCAAAAGGUGACAGACCUGAAAACCCUAUGAGACAGUUCUGGUCUGCACAUAUGGGGUCACCAUGACUUGGAAUUCCCUCGAAAGCAACUAGCAACAAUAACAGAUCUAUCCAUCAGUCUAUCAUCCAUUUGUCUAUCUAUAUAUUAAUAUACAUAUACACACACAUAUGUAUUUACAUGAAAGUAUUUUCGCUAAGUACAAUAUUAAACUAAAAAUAAAAAAUGAAAGAAUAUCAAAAAUACCCAAAUAUAUGAAAAUUAAUAAACAUACUUCUACAUAAUAUGUCAAAGAAGAAGUCGCAAGGAAAAUUAGAAAAUUCUUUGAACAGAAUGAAAACAAAAAUACAUCAUACCUAAAUUUGUGGUAUACAGCUGAAGGCAAAAUAUAAAGAGAAACUCAGGGAAUUAAAUGCUUAUAUUGAAAAGAAGAAAGGUUACAAAUCAUUAAUCUAAGCUUCCCCCUACAAACCAAGAUUUGGAUGGGGGAGGGGGAAGAAAAUUAGACCUAAAGAAGCAGAAGAAAAGAAAUAAUGGAGAUAGAUAGAAACCACUGAAAUAGAAAACAAACAAAACAUAGAAUACAUUGAUAAAACCAAAUUCUGAAUCUUUAAAAAGAUUUUAAAAAAUUGUGCACCUCCAUUAAGACAAAUCAAGGAAAAAAACAUUAGAGGACACAAAUUACCAAUAUCAGGAAUGAGAAAGGGACAUUAUUACAGGUCCUAUAAAUAUUAAAUAGAAAGUUGAAAACAAAACGGUUUUAAAAAAUUGAAAAAUCAAUGUUCAAUACAAUAAAACCAAAAACUUCAGUGAAAUGAAAUCCCUUGAAAGACACACACUAACGGAACUCACCCCAACAGAGGUUAAUAAACUGAAAAGUUCUAUAUCUGUUAAAGAUAUGAAAUUUGUUAAAAAACUUUCCAACAAAAAAAGCUACAGGCUCAGAUGGUCUCGUUAGUGAACUGUAACAAACAUUUAAACAAGUAAAAAUACAGUCUAUACAAUCUCUUCAAGAAAAUACAAGGAGAGGGAAAACUUCCCACUCACUAUAUGAGGUAAACUUUACAUAGAUGGCAAAAGCAAAAAAAAAAGGGGGGGAAUUAACAAAAUCGAUAAACCAUUGGCUAGACUGACUAAAGAAAUACAGGAAAGGAAAUAAAUAACCCGAAUAAGAAACGAGAAGGGCCACAUCACAACAGACCCAACUGAAAUUAAAAGAAUUAGAUUAUUACAAAAAAUUGUACUCUAACAAAUUUGCAAACCUAGAAGAAAUGGAUGAAUUCCUACAAAAACACUACCUACCUAAACUAACACAAUCAGAAGUAGAACAACUAAAUAGACCAAUAACAAAAAAAGAGAUUGAAAUGGUAAUCAAAAAACUCCCAACAAAAAAAAAGCCCUGGCCCGGAUGGCUACACUGCAGAGUUCUACCAAACUUUCAGAGAAGAGUUAACACCACUACUACUAAAGGUAUUUCAAAGCAUAGAAAAUGACGGAAUACUACCUAACUCAUUCUAUGAAGCCACCAUCUCCCUAAUACCAAAACCAGGUAAAGACAUCACAAAAAGAGAAAAUUACAGACCUAUAUCCCUCAUGAACAUAGAUGCAAAAAUCCUCAACAAAAUUCUGGCCAAUAGAAUUCAACAACAUAUCAAAAAAAUAAUCCACCACGACCAAGUGGGAUUUAUACCAGGUAUGCAAGGCUGGUUUAAUAUUAGAAAAACCAUUAAUGUAAUCCACCAUAUAAAUAAAACAAAAGAAAAAAACCACAUGAUCUUAUCAAUUGAUGCAGCAAAGGCAUUUGACAAAGUCCAACACCCAUUUAUGAUAAAAACUCUUACCAAAAUAGGAAUUGAAGGAAAAUUCCUCAACAUAAUAAAGGGCAUCUAUACAAAGCCAACAGCCAAACUCACUCUAAAUGGAGAGAGCCUGAAAGCAUUGCCCUUGAGAAUGGGAACCAGACAAGGAUGCCCUUUAUCACCGCUCUUAUUCAACAUUGUGCUAGAAGUCCUAGCCAGAGCAAUUAGGCUAGACAAAGAAAUAAAGGGCUUCCGGAUUGGCAAGGAGGAAGUAACAUUAUCUCUAUUUGCAGAUGACAUGAUCUUAUACACAGAAAACCCUAAGGAAUCCUCCAGAAAACUACUGAAACUAAUAGAAGAGUUUGGCAGAGUCUCAGGUUAUAAGAUAAACAGACAAAAAUCACUUGGAUUCCUCUACAUCAACAAAAAGAACAUCGAAGAGGAAAUCACCAAAUCAAUACCAUUCACAGUAGCCCCCAAGAAGAUAAAAUACUUAGGAAUAAAUCUUACCAAAGAUGUAAAAGACCUAUACAAAGAAAACUACACAGCACUACUACAAGAAAUUCAAAAGGACAUACUUAAGUGGAAAACCAUACCUUGCUCAUGGAUAGGAAGACUUAACAUAGUAAAAAUGUCUAUUCUACCAAAAGCCAUCUAUACAUACAAUGCACUUCCGAUCCAAAUUCCAAUGCCAUUUUUUAAUGUGAUAGAGAAAUAAAUCACCAACUUCAUAUGGAAGGGAAAGAAGCCUCAGAUAAGUAAAGCGUUACUGAAAAAGAAGAAGAAAGUGGGAGGCCUCACUCUACCUGAUUUCAGAACCUAUUAUACAGCCACAGUAGUCAAAACAGCCUGGUACUGGUACAACAACAGGCACAUAGACCAGUGGAACAGAAUUGAGAACCCAGAUAUAAACCCAUCCACAUGUGAGCAGCUGAUAUUUGACAAAGGCCCAGUGUCAGUUAAUUGGGGAAAAGAUAGUCUUUUUAACAAAUGGUGCUGGCAUAACUGGAUAUCCAUUUGCAAAAAAAUGAAACAGGACGCAUACCUCACACCAUGCACAAAACCUAACUCCAAGUGGAUCAAAGACCUAAACAUAAAGUCUAAAACGAUAAAGAUCAUGGAAGAAAAAAUAGAGACAACCUUAGGAGCCCUAAUACAAGGCAUAAACACAAUACAAAACAUUACCAAAAAUGACGAAGAGAAACCAGAUAACUGGGAGCUCCUAAAAAUCAAACACCUAUGCUCAUCUAAAGACUUCACCAAAAGAGUAAAAAGACCACCUACAGACUGGGAAAGAAUUUUCAGCUAUGACAUCUCCGACCAGUGCCUGAUCUCUAAAAUCUAUAUGAUUCUGUCAAAACUCAACCACAAAAAGACAAACAACCCAAUCAAGAAGUGGGCAAAGGAUAUGAACACACACUUCACUAAAGAAGAUAUUCAGGCAGCCAACAGAUACAUGAGAAAAUGCUCCUGAUCAUUAGCCAUUAGAGAAAUGCAAAUUAAAACUACAAUGAGAUUCCAUCUCACUCCAACAAGGCUGGCAUUAAUCCAAAAAACACAAAAUAAUAAAUGUUGGAGAGGCUGCGGAGAGAUUGGAACUCUCAUACACUGCUGGUGGGAAUGUAAAAUGGUACAACCACUUUGGAAAUCUAUUUGGCGUUAUCUUAAACAGUUAGAAAUAGAACUACCAUACAACCCAGAAAUCCCACUCCUCGGAAUAUACCCUAGAGAAAUAAGAGCCUUCACACAAACAGAUAUAUGCACACCCAUGUUUCUUGCAACUCUGUUUACAAUAGCAAAAAGCUGGAAGCAACCAAGGUGUCCAUCAACGGAUGAAUGGUUAAAUAAAUUGUGGUACAUUCACACAAUGGAAUACUACGCAUCGAUAAAGAACAGUGACGAAUCUGUGAAACAUUUCAUAACAUGGAGGAACCUGGAAGGCAUUAUGCUGAGCGAAUUAGUCAGAGGCAAAAGGACAAAUAUUGUAGAAGACCACUAUUAUAAAAUCUUGAGAAAUAGUAUAAACUGAGAAGAACACAUACUUUUGUGGUUAUGGGGGAGGGGAGGGAAGGAGUGUGGGAGAGGGUUUUUUACCGAUUAAUUAGUAGAUAAGAACUACUUUAGGUGAAGGGAAGGACAAUACUCAAUACAUGGAAGGUCAGCUCAACUGGACUGGACUGGACCAAAAGCAAAGAAGUUUCCGGGAUAAACUGAAUACUUCAAAGGUCAGCGGAGCAAGGGCGGGGGUUUGGGGACUAUGGCUUAAGGGGACUUCUAAGUCAAUUGGCAAAAUAAUUCUAUUAUGAAAACAUUCUGCACCACACUUUGAAAUGUGGUGUCUGGGGUCUUAAAUGCCAACAAGCGGCCAUCUAAGAUGCAUCAAUUGGUCUCAACCCACCUGGAUCAAAGGAGAAUGAAGAACACCAAGUUCACACGAUAACUAAGAGCCCAAGAGACAGAAAGGGCCACGUGAACUAGAGACUUACAUCAUCCUGAGACCAGAAGAACUAGUUGGUGCCCGGCUACAACCGAUGACUGCCCUUGCAGGGAGCACAACAGAGAGCCCCUGAGGGAGCAGGAGAUCAGUGGGAUGCAGACCCCAAAUUCUCACAAAAAGACCAUACUUAAUGGUCUGACUGAGACUAGAGGAAUCCCGGAGGUCAUGGUCCCCAAACCUUCUGUUGGCCCAGGACAGGAACCAUUCCCGAAGACAACUCAUCAGACAUGAAAGGGACUGGACAGUGGGUAGGAGAGAGAUGCUGAUGAAGAGUGAACUAAUGAUAUCAGGUGGACACUUGAGACUGUGUUGGCAUCUCCUGUCUGGAGGGGGGAUGGGAGGAUAGAGAGAGUUGGAAGCUGGCAAAAUUGUCACGAAAGGAGAGACUGGAAGGGCUGAUUCAUUAGGGGGAGAGCAAGUGGGAGUAUGGAGUAAGGUGUAUAUAAACUUAUAUGUGACAGUCUAACUUUAUUUGUAAACAUUCACUUGAAGCUCAAUAAAAGUUAAUAAAAAAAAAAGGGGGGGAAAAGAGCAAAAACAUUCUCAACAAAAUAUUAAAUUGAUCAAUACUUAAGAAAGGUAAUACACCAUGUCUAAGUGGGGUUUAAUUUAAGAAAGAAAAACUGAUUCAACAUUUAAAAAGCAAUCAAUAUAUUUCAUCAUAUUAAUAGAAUAAAGGAAAAGAAAAUCCACAUGAUCAAUGCGAUAGAAGUAGAAAGAGCAUUUGACAAAAUACAUCUAUUUAUAGUUAAAAAAAUACCCUUAGAAAACUAGGAAUAGAAUGGAUCUUCCUUAACCUGAUAUUGGGUACUGACAAAACACGUACAGCUAAUAUUUAAUAGUGAAUAACUGAGUGCUUUCCUCUAACAGUGGGGACACUCUCACCACUCUUAUUCAACAUAACAUUGGAACUCUAGCCAGUACAAUAAGAUAAUAAUAAAUAUCUAUCUAAUUUUUUUCAGGACUAGACUGCCAGGUCCUUCUUCCUAGUUUAUCUUAGUCUGGAAGCUCCACUGAAACCUGUCCACCAUGGGUGACCCUGCUGGUAUUUGAAAAACCAGUGACAUAGCUUCCAGCAUCACAGCAACAUGCAAGCCACCACAGUACAACAAACUGGCAGAUGUGUGGGGUGUGUUAAUAAUAAUAGAUAAGAUAGACAAUUUGAAGCCUGGAAAGGAAGAAAUAAAAAUACUUCUAUUACCAUAAAAAAAAAGCACUUGCCAUCAAGUCGAUUUGAACUCAGGGUGACCCCCUGUGUCCAGAGUAGAACUGCACUAUGUAGUGUUUUGAAGGCCAUGAACUUCCAGAAGCAGAUCUCCAGGCCUGUCUUUUGAGGCACCUCUGGGUGGUUUCGAACAGCCAACCUUUCGGCUAGUAGUUGUGCAUUUAACCAUUCGUGCUGCCCAGGGACUGCCUUAAUGUUAGCAAGGAAGAGUUUUGUGCAGUUAACCCACCCACUGACCCACUGCCGCCUAACCGAUUCUGACUCAUAGCGACCCUAUAGGACAGAGUAGAACUGCCCCGUAGAGUUUCCAGGGAGGGCCUGGUGAAUUCGAACUGGUGACCUUUUGGUUAGCAGCUGUAGCAGAGUUAGAUGGUGCUAAAUAGUGAGGUGGAUCUGUGGAACUCAAGUUGGUUACCAUGACUGACACAUAGGUUGUGUCUUGGAGAAUUGGUUAAAGCAGAACCUGGCUAAAAACUGGCUACAGUCAUUCCUACUCCUAAGGAAUAAGAGUUGUUUCUCAUUGAAAGUUUUUAAGCAGGAAAACAAUAUGUUUGGAUCUGUAUUUUGAACAGACAACCCUGUUGUACACAGAAUUUGGAUUGGAGAGGAAAGAUGGAAGUGGAGAGAUGAGUUGAUUAGAGCCUGAACUAGUGCAGAUAACAUGGGAAUAUUUACUUGCUUACUUCUAAACAUGUAAUGCUAUUUGAAUAUAGUUUAUCUGAGUUAACUUCUCUGCUUUUAAAAUUAAUUUUAGUUCAUUAUCCUGCAUUUGCGAAUUUACAUAAUCUAAUCUAAUUGCAUGUUUAAUGUAAAUAGCUCUAAUCACAAAAUUUCUAUGUGUUAAUGACAUAAUUAGAUGAUGCACAAUUAUAAUUUUAAAGAUGUUCAUAAGGCAUGGCCAAACAUAAGCUUACCAGAGGGAUGUGGCCUUUGAGGUCAGAGAUUGUGGGAAGUGGAAGGACCAUAUAUUGCCUAUUUCAACCCGCUCACUUUAACAAGUAACAUUUUACCAAAGAAUGUAGAAGAAGCAUUUGUGUACUAUUUUCCUAAGUUUUUCAUCUUUAUACACUGAAUGGGAUUAGUGUGUUAAAAGAAGAAAGAGAACAAGACCUUCAUGGAAUGCAGUAAUCCAAUGAAAGGAGAGGAAUUUUUUAGAAUAAUGAGUAGAUUGAUGCAUGGGACAGUUCUCAGCUCUUUUUACUCAUUUGUUCAUUCUUUCAUCUGACUUGUUUGGAAAUCUCCUUAUACUAGGGUGUUGAACCCAGGUCUACUUGACUGCAGAAAAUUAGACCUGAAUCUUAUGAAUAAGACCUGAUCUACAAUAAUAAAACGAAAGAUAGAUAUGAAUGACACAAUAUGAUGCAGCAUGUUCUAUAAUAAUACUGCAAAGAACUAACCAGUUACAUAGAGGGAUGAAAAAUGAACUUUGCUUUCAGGAUUUGGGAAGGCUUUGUAGAAGGGAUGAUAAGUGAGUUACAUCUUAAAGAGGAAUUUAACAGACAAAAAAGAGGACAAAGGCAAUUCUGUCAGAAGUAACAAUUUCUUCAGAGAUAAACGAUUGCUACAAAGUCAGAUGUGCCUGAGUACCACAACGAAUUUAUGAGGAGAGAGUGAUGAUGUUGGACAUGUAGUUUGGGGCUAGAAUAUAAAGACACCAUUUGCCAUACUAAGAGUGAGCUUUGCUUUAUAGACAAUGAAAAAUUGAUAAAAACUUUUAUACCUAGAAAGUUAUGUGAUGAGAAUUGUGUUUUAGAAUAAUAGCUCUGGGGGCAGUGUGAAAGUGGCUUGCAGGCAGGACACCAGUUACAAAAUAUUGAGACAGAAAAUUAUAUAUAAAAAAAAAGUUUAAACAAGAAAGGGUGUACUAAGAGGAUGGGAAUGGAAAUGAAUAUGAUAAUAUGUGCACAUUGCAGUGAUAUUAUAGAUAUACCAUAGAUAUGGGCAGAGGUCAAACAAACUAUCAUAGAUAAAGACGGACAUCAAAUUAUGGCUUACAAACACAACGAAUGGGGUGGGGGAGAACAAUAGAAAGGGGCAGGAGGUAAUUGGAGAUAGGAAUGGUGAUGUUAACAACCAAGCUAAGAAAUUGGGCAAGAAGAACAGAAUUGGGAGUGAACCGAGUGAUUUUAUUAUGUGUUUGUUGAAAAUGUGGUCCAGCUAAGAGCACAUCUUGUCAGCAAAUAUUUUUUACACUUUGUUCAUUUGAGCUCCAUUUUCAGUUUUUAUUAAAUUUCAUCAUCUGUACUAUAAUUUGCUCAAUGCUUGUCUUUGCAUUGAUUCACUUUUUUCCUACAUACAUUUAUUUUAAAAGGAAAACCUAGUACCUUUACCAUUAAUGUAAACAAGUGCCGUCAAUUUUCCUAUAUACAAGUAAAUAUUAAAUUAAUGCAUUAAACCAAGAGAAAUUUAAAGUUUUCAAUUAAAUACAAAAUUAUCAUGAUUCUAACUGGUUUAUCCAAAAAAAAAAAGUGCUUAAAAAAUCUUUCCCCAGUGGGAAUAAAAUAAAACUCUUUAAAAAGUGAUACUUGCUUUAAAAUAAAGAUAAGGUUCUAUAUCUGUAUCUAUAAAAUUGUUCCAAUAUUUAGUUCUAAAGUUCACUGGCACUAAGAAAAUAUAUUCAUAAGUUUCUAUGGUCAGAAAGGGUAGUAUCCUUAGCCAGACUACAAUUUAAAUUUUUACUAUGGAUUGGGAGCUCUUUGAGCAUAUGGGAUGCAACUUAGUGCCUACCUUCAUCCUCCUCUCAGGGAAAAAGAUUUAAAGAAAUGUAUUAGAUUAAAACUGCUCCCUUUUCUUCUCCUUCACAUCCCAGGACCUUUUGGACUGUACCAGACUCAAAUGCUAACCCUGGGUUAGAAGCAAGGGUUAGAAGCCCAGUGCAGCCCAAGUCAGAGAAGAGCAUGGUGCUAAGAGCAGUACAAACCCUGAUAACAAAGAACACUUGUUCUAAUUUCCCAGACUUACCUCCCAAGAAUGUAGGCCAUAGCUAGAGUCUCAGAGGGGGAAAAGUAAGGGUGCAGACUUACCAAGUGUCAACUGGCUCACCAAAAGACUUAAAAUUAUCUCCUGAAUCACCAGGUGGGUACCACCUCUUGAAAAAUACUGCAACAAUUAAGGACGCAACUGGAACUGAAAGAAAAGUGAAGUUUAGAUGUAAAGGACUGCACAUCUUAGGUAUCAGGUAGUAAUCGUGAUCAUUGGAAUGAAUUGAUCUUGAUACAUCUCAGUGUCUAACUGCCUUGUCUCCCUGUGACUAAGGGUCAGUAGAUACUAUCCUGUUUAAUCGGGGUUAUUUUCAUUAUAUCAUUAAUUUUACUUCAUUAUUGAGCAUGAAUCUGACUUAGUUUAUUUGCUACCUAAGGAUUUUAGGGAUGUGUGUGUGUGUGUGUGUGUGUUUGUAUUCAUGGGUAGUGGUUGAUGUUGUUCAGCUAGAAAUUGAGAUAUAUGAAUUAAAAAUAGCAGAUUUUGUUUUCUAAAUGAGUUCGAGGAUGAGUGGCAAGUGUAAAUAUCUUUUUGGAAGGGCAAUGUUUCAAAUUAGUAGGUCUAUAUUUGUUAAUAUUUAUGUAUAAUGCAUUGUGCAUUAUAUUACCCUAGAAACUUUAGGAAAAUUUACAUUGAUUUCACAAAACUUGAAGGAAGUACAUACUGAUAUUUUGAAAUAUGUAGUGUUUACAUUGAAUAGUGUGUCUAUAGAGCUCCUCUGGAGCUAUUAUCUCUUAUUGGUUCAAAUCCUUGAUUUUUAUAAAAUAUCUAAUCACAUAUCAAUCUGAUUUUUCUACUCUUUCCUAGGGAAUUAUGUGAUUUUCCCUGGAAAAUAGCAUAAUUUCCAUCAUAAACAUUUAUUUUAUGUACAAUCUAUUUCUUAAAUAACUAUAUAGAAAAUUAGAGGUAAACAUAAAAUGAGGUGAGAUGUUUAAUAACAAAGACUUAUCCACGUUAUAGACCCUGCAGACCCUUUCCUCUCUGAUUAAUGUUUGAAUUAAUGAUGGCAUUAAUUACUAUAAUUCAGCAGUAUUUCCUUUCCACAAAAUUUGUCAUGUUAUUUAUGUUAUAUCUCAUUUUUGUGAAACUUUUCUCGAACGAGACAAUGCAUAAACAAACAUAAAAACAAACAAAAUAUCUAAGAGGAACUUAAAUUCUCAAGCUUGAUGUUCUUCUUAGACAAUUACCCAUGUCGUUUUAAAUCCCAUUCUAAUUGUUUAGCUCAUGGCAUUUAGUCUGAAUAGACUUUGGGUAUUGUCUGUCAGAAACAAGUCCUGCCUGUUCUUUUGCUGUAGAGCUUAGAAUAAAGAAGCAAUGUAGUUGUUAUGAAAAAAAAAAAAAACCUUAAUAGUUUGAAUAACUAAAUUCCCAUUUGCUUUGGCCCCUUAAAAGAACAACUAGUUAGUUCCAGGUUUAAAGGAAAAUAAAAGCCUCUUUAAUUUGAUUAUCUUAAUAUAUAAGAACAGCAAUUAAAUAAAUUGUCACACCCACAAUAUAACUCAGAGAUAGAAAAUAACACAAAUUGACUAGUUGACUCUAAAGCCCACACAAAACAGGGAAAUGUAUGGGAAUUCUAUGGACCAGGGGAAAAUGUGUCAGAGACCUAGUGGUAAUAGAUCAGAGAAAACAUGAUGGAAAAUUCAUCUUCAAAGAAGAAUGCCCUAACCUAACAGAGGAAACACUGAGAAUAGGCAUGAGGCUUGCUGGAUCAGAGGACUGGACAAAGGAAAGUAAAAAAGUGAGGAAAAGUUAGUAUGGAAGAAGGCUGUGGUCUUUAGAAUCUUGAUAGAAAAUAGAAAGCAGAGAGCAAAGACAAGGAUCUUCCUGAAAAAAAUCAGUAUUUAAGAAUUAGAAAAAGAUAGAAAGAAAAUAUUGCCGUUUUUUUUUAAGCUGAACUUCAGUGUAGUGACUAAAGGAAACACUCUUGAACUAGAUAACCUAGUAGUUCACCCAACAACUCCCCUAUCCAUUUCAAGAUCACAUAUUAAUGUUAGUCCAGGAAAAUCCAUCACAAAUAACGAGCAAGAAAAAGAAAAAAAAAAAGCGAGUGUUCACAUCCAUUACUGUAAUAAGAAAUGACAAAUACAUAUAUAUAUAUAUAGAACAUGAACACAAGGUAUGAUUAAAAAAAAGAAAGAUAAAAGUAAUACAUAUUCUCUCUUAUCUCUUGCCUUUGAGUUGAAUCUGACUCAUAGCAACCCUAUAGGACAGAGUAGAACUGCCCCACAUUGUUUCCAAGGAGUGUCUGGUGGGUUCAAACUACCGACGUUUUGGUUAGCAGCCAUAGCUUUUCACCACUAUCGACCAGGGUUUCUAUAUUCUCUCUUGGACAUCUGAUAACAGUAUUCACUUUCAAGAUGAUUUAUUAAAUUUCUUUCUAUUUCUGUCAUGAUUUCAAUCAGCUCCCAUUUCGCAGCCUCCUUUUCGUCUGUUUUUAUUCUGAGUCACUGAAUGUCUAAUUCAUGGUGUUAUUUCCUAUAUAUAAUUGAACUUAAAUUAUAUUUUCUUCAAAUUGUAGUGUCAUAGUCAAAUUUCUUCUAUUUCACUGCUUUUUUCUAUGUGUAUAUGUGUGUGCUUGUGCACUUCCAUCUGUUGAAUAGUUUUGGUUUUUAUUUUCUUUAUAGAAUAUUCACAUUUUUUGUCCUUAAGUUUAUCGUAAAAGUUGUUCCAAUGUUGUCUUCAAUGGAUUUUGCUGUCAAGAUAUCUGAUACAAAAUUGAUUUCUUCCCUUUAUAAAUGAUGUUUUACUUUGUCUUUAAUAUCUAGUAUUAUCUGCGUUAACUUUCCCAAGUAAACAGUGGAGUCUUUUAGUAUGAGAAAUGAGAUACGGUUAAAUGUCAAUAAAAUUUUCUUAAAUUAUAAUUAUAAAUUUUAAUCCUGAUCCAUGUUGUUUUACUUUUAAGUAAUUAUAAGUAUUUUGGAUUUUCUUUGCUUGUCAUCUAUAAUUUUUUCUCUGACUUUUCUACCUUUUUAAAUUUUAUUUUUAUUCUUGAUUCUUUUCAUUUCUAUUCAAUUCACAGCUUCGACUAAAAAUAAAAUAGGGACAGGAUGAAAGAAAAGUAAAAAUAUUUUAUUUGAUAAUGCUCUUAAGUACAUAUAUCAAUAAAUAUUAAAGAAUUAAAAUAAAUUCAGCGACAAAUGCAAAAGGUUAAAAACCUAACAGAAAUAAGGACAUAAUGUAGAAAAAUGCAGAAAUUAUAGCAGAAAAGACAAAUAUAGAUGCAAUAAUUGAAUAAAUAAUUUGGUUCUUUUAAAAAUAAAAAGAUGAAUAAACCACCAGUUAUAAUCUAACUUGAAAAGAUAAAAAAGCACAAUUAUAUAAAAUAAGAAAUUAAAAAAUAACUAUUGCAAAAAUUAAAAAAAAAAAGAAGAAGAAAAUUACCUCGUUUUUAAAUCUAUGUAAAUAAACUUGAAAGCCCAGACGGAAACUUUUGGUCAUUGUUGUUAGGUGCCGUCGAGUCAGUUCCGACUCAUAGCGACCUUAUGCACAACAGAACGAAACACUGCCCGGUCCUGAGACAUCCUUGCAAUCGUUGCUUUGCUUGAGCUCAUCCUUGCAGCCACUGUGUCAAUCCACCUCUCUGAGGGUCUUCCUCUUUUCCACUGACACUGUACUCUGACAAGCAUGAUGUCCUUCUCCAAGGACUGAUCCCUCCCAACAACAUGUCCAAAGUACUUAAGAAGCAGUCUCGCCAUCCUUGCUUCUAAGGAGCAUCCUGGCUGUACUUCUUCUAAGACAGAUUUGUUCAUUCUUUUGGCAGGCCAUGGUGUAUUCAAUAUUCUUCACCAACACAACAAUUCAAAGGCGUCAACUCUUCUUCGGUCUUCCUUAUUCAUUGUUCAGCUUUCACAUAUAUAUGAUGUGAUUGAAAAUACCAUGGCUUGGGUCAGGCACACCUUAGUCUUCAGGGUGACAUCUUUGCCCUUCAA
Long non-coding RNA from Loxodonta africana (African savanna elephant), 15237 nucleotides. RefSeq lists it as uncharacterized. The transcript has 4 exons. NCBI's taxonomy places the organism in Eukaryota, Metazoa, Chordata, Mammalia, Proboscidea, Elephantidae. The record is from RefSeq and is a predicted model, not a curated record.